UUUAGUAUAAUGCCGAUCGCUUUGGAAAAAACGGUAAAAAGGGGGUGAUAGAGGGGUGUAUCCCCAUCUUAAAACUGAAAACAGAACCUGCCGGAGGCUUAUAGUUUUUAAGUAAUUUAAUGUUAAAGUUCUAUAAUUUAGCGAAAAGUUGGUGUUGCCAUACACCUGAAAUGAAAACGAAGUUCGCACGCAGGGAUGUUCAGUGGAAGGUUCAUUGUAAAACUGCAGUAUUUUUUGCUGUAAUUUAAAGUUGAGAAAUGAAUUUGAAAAUAAAAACAUACAACUCAUUUAAACUUAAAAACAAUGAUAUUAAGCGUAUCACAAAAAAUAAUAAAGUAAUUAAAAUUAAAUUAAAUUAAUUAACACAGUAUUUUUGCGUGGAACUCUUUAUCGCGUAGGCGGCCUUCGGCCGCGCUUCAUAAAAAUAACCCUCAUCAGUCCUACUCCGGCUACGCAAUCCACAGUAUUUUUGCGUAGAACUCCUUUUCGCGUGGGCGGCCUUCGGCCGCGCUUCAAAAAAAUAACCCUCAUCAGUCCAACUCCGGCUACGCAAUCCACAGUAUUUUUGCGUAGAACUCCUUUUCGCGUGGGUGGCCUUCGGCCGCACUUCAAAAAAAUAACCCUCAUCAGUCCAACUCCGGCUACGCAAUCCACAGUAUUUUUGGGUAGAACUCCUUUUCGCGUGGGCGGCCUUCGGCCGCGCUUCAAAAAAAUAACCCUCAUCAGUCCAACUCCGGCUACGCAAUGCACAGUAUUUUUGCGUAAAACUCCUUUCCGUGUUAAAACCAUUGAACCCAAAAUUAAAACGUCAUAUGCGUGUAUGUAGUAAGCAGGCACAAUAACCCCCAUUCCCAUCAUUAACACUAAACUCAAGUACUUAAUUUUUGUUUUCAUUUGCAGGCAUCCGGCAACACCAUACUGUUGUAAUUCCAAUCUUCUUCUUGUUCGCGCUUAAAAUUGGAAUGUGAUUGCAUAGGCAAAUGAAUUUGAAUUUAAUUUUAAUAGAUAUAAUUAGAAUAUUAGCAUAAAAAUCGGUACAAACACGCGUGUGAGUGUAUAUUUGGUGAUUUAUAGUGAAAUGUUAAAAAAUAUAGAGUGUAAUGUGGCAAAUUAUACUGAUGUUCCCAAGGGCAUUUUGAAUGUAAAUAAUUAAAAAAUUAUUAUUUCCCGAUUAAUUUAAAGUUAUAAAGAGUGUUCCUUAACACCUCACUAACAUCUCCACCAAGUUUCAUUAAAAAAAACAUUAUAGUUUGCCAGAAAUUCCAAGAUCGGCAUUGUUCUAAAUUCCAGCCGUGCCGCUGGUUAAACUGUGAAAGGUACGUUCGCGAUGGCAAUCAGAACAGCAGUGUUGCAAAUUUUGCAAAGUAUCACGUUCUUCUUGAAUCUGUGGCAACACUCGCAAAAGUCAAACGUUCUAUUUACUCAUCACGCGCGCAAAUAACCUCAAUAACCGGCAACACAAAAUUUUUGUCUGCAAGCUUAACACAAAUGCAAUGGAAAAAGAAAGUUUAAUUCACUUAAUAUUAUUUCAUUCUCGAGCUGUCUUCUUCAAGUGUGCGCUGGAUGUCACCUCCUGGAGGAUCCCUAAUGUCUUGU
Anastrepha ludens (Mexican fruit fly) is the source of this 1596-nucleotide long non-coding RNA. RefSeq lists it as uncharacterized. The transcript has 3 exons. The record is from RefSeq and is a predicted model, not a curated record. NCBI's taxonomy places the organism in Eukaryota, Metazoa, Arthropoda, Insecta, Diptera, Tephritidae.